Molecule: long non-coding RNA, 3963 nt
Filed under: Brassica napus (rape)
Lineage: Eukaryota; Viridiplantae; Streptophyta; Magnoliopsida; Brassicales; Brassicaceae
Description: long non-coding RNA (BNAP_LNC013673)
Source: RNAcentral
UGAAGGGUUGUGUUGAUGCGAGGACAGGGGAACAGAGGAUGGUGUGAGAAAGGGUGAGAGAGAGAUUGGUUUUGGACAGAAGGUGUAGCGAAUGAGAUAUGUUGUUGAGUGGAGCUGUGCGACUUUGGUCGGAAUUUGGAGUUUGAGGAGUGGAGGGUUUGGAUAGGUUUCGCGGAGGAGAAGAUGCGAGAAUUGUCGGAAGAGACGACAUCAUAACUAAAUGGCGACGAGAGACGAUGAGUGGAAGCGCCAAGAGGAUAAGAAACAAAAUAAAGGGCUCAUUCUUGUAAAAUUGGAUAAACACUAAAAGAUGAUGUCAAAACUGUAAAUAACUACUUUUGUCAAUUAUUAAUUUACAUAAAAAAAAAAAAAAUUGAGAACUAUUAAUUUUAGAUACAAUUGCCAAAACAAUUUCCCAAUUUAUCAACAAAUUUUCCCAGCUUUUUGUCUAUACUAUUUUUAGGGCAAUUCUCUUAAAUAACAAUUUUUAAGUUUUUGUCACAAAAAUAGUCUUCAAAAAGAAAAUGACAAAAAUAGCUCCAUUUUAUUUUGAAAUUUUUAAUAUUUAUUUUUAUUUUUUUUAAAUUUGAAAUCUUAUCAUCAAAACCCCCUAAUUCUAGAUUAGUUAACCCUAGAGUCAAAAUACAUUUUUACUUUUCGAUAAAACUUAUUUUGUUUAUUUUCUUCAUUGAACGUUAUUUUGCGACAAAAACUUAGAAAGAUAUAUCUUAGAAAAUUUCUCCUAUUUUUAUCACGUUAAUUAAUGAUUUUGUCUUUUCUCUAAGUAUUUUGGUUUCAGUUAAAUAAAAAUAACAUUACAUAUGAAAGAAAUUUUAAUAGAUUAUUUAUUUUUGCUUAAGUCUUAAGAAGAGAAAAAAAAACUCUGUAUUGUCAAACACUACUGUUUUGAUUUUCCAUCUAACGACAGUGAAUUCUGAUUUAUUCAUAAAAUUUAAGAUGAACAAAUUUAAAAUGUAAACCUAUAAUAUUUUACACAAAUUUAGAAAAAAAUAAAUACUUGCGUCUCUGUUUCCCUCCUCUCUCUAUAUAUUAUGGCAAAACAAACUGGAUACAUUUUACACAACACAAAGCUGAUCCCAUCUUAAUAAACUAAUGAGAUGAGUUAUGUUCAUCGUCUGAAGAUGAAGAAGAAGAAGACUGCUUUCGUCCGAAUAGUCCAGGCAGAGGCUGUGGCAGCAUUGGGUUCACAGGAACUGGAAACUUGUGAGCAGAACUAACCAUUGUUCUUUCGUUUAUCAUCCCUACUUCUUUGCAGACUCUGUCCACUACUCCGAGGAAGUCUCGAACCACCAAGAAUAUCCUAAACGGAUGUGCUUCUUCUUUAGCCGAGUUCCCAUGGAAAUACUCUGUGAUCUCUUUCACGAGAGACAACGCUACGCUCUCUUGAGCUUGUACUCUGAUGAUGUCUUCUUCAGCUCUUUUCAGAAACGUGUUCAUCGAUUCCAAAAACCUCUCGCUACUGCUGCUGCCGCUUUCUUCUCUGACCGUUGAUUGGAUUUGGACUGCUUCGUUGAUCUUGGCAAUGCCUUGGGAAAGCUUGGAGACGUAGCUGCUGAGUACUUCCGAGUCCAUUGCCGCAGCUUUCUUGACGUUGCCAAGCUCUGAAGAUAGACUUGAUACAACUUGGAGGCCGAGUUUCCUGCAUUUGAUGUCAUCCGUUUGUGUAUUGUUGUCACCUGAGAGACGUGUGCCUUCUGCUCGGAUGAUCUCUUGAACAACGAAAUGCAAGAGAGUUGUUUUCCCAUCAGCGCCUUUGACAUCGACCAGCUUGAGGAGCGUGUCGAGCUUGAACGCAUGUGCGUCGCCUCGGUUCGUCCCAACGUUCAUGCGGUUUCCUGUCUUUAGAACCGCUUCUAGAAGCUUUAAGAACAUUCUGCUGUUCCUCAGUUCCUCACAAGCAGCCUACCCCAUAAAAGGUUUGAUUCGUUACAAACACAAAUGGUAGCAAGAGAGAGAGAAGAUAGCUUUGCUUUAUACAUUACCUCAAGAGUCUGGAAAGAGUUCUUCAGGUAUUCAACCUCGGAGUCAAAGUUAGCUACAUAGAGCAUUGCGUCAACUCUUUUAAAGGCAAAAGGGAUGUCUAGCAUUGCCUUGAGGAACUUCUCAGCAUGUCCAAGCUUUACAGGCGAAUCAUCCUUGUACUCUUUUAACCUGCGCUCUUCCUCUUUCGUUGGGGCCAUCUUGAGUAAGCUCUCUAGAAGUUCAGUCCCAAGUGUUUCGGCAUUGCCUGAAAAGCAUAACAUAACAACAAUCAUUCAGGACAUCAACUUCUUAGAUCAUAGCUAAACAAACGCAGAUGAAAUGUGAAACUAAGUAUGUGACAGCAUAGGUUACCUUCAAGAAGCGCUUCACAGACUUCUUCAAUAGUGACAUUAAGUGCACGAAGCAGGAUUGCAAUAUUCUGAGCCUUCUUAGGGUCCAAGACUCUGUUCUCUUGAUUCGGGCUUGGGAGAGCGCAUCUUGGAGUAGUCUGGCUCUGAUUUGGUUUGGAGUCUAACGACUUUGCCACAAACAACGUUUCAAUCAUCUCUUCAUCUAAUCUGCAAUCACACCAAUAAAAUUUCAACAACCAUAUUGUGACAAAGAAACUAUGAGAUUAACUCACUUGAAAGAGCUUGAACGAAGCUGAUCCCAGACCAUCUCACGGUCGGAACUUGCUCUGACUUUAUCCCAGUGCAAAGCCUUAAGCUUCGGUUUAGGAGUUUCCUCUGCAGGCUCAUUGGCACUGAACGUCUCUUUUAGAGUCUCUUCUGGUGAAGUCUUUGGAAGGUUUUCGGAUGGGAUCACAAAAGGAUUCGAAGGCGGCGUGAGAGGAGGUGGUCGGGACGCCUUAGGAGUCGCUUGAUUCCGUCGUGCCCAUGUCGGAAACGGUGGAGGAGGUGGCGGAGGCGGCACUCGUGCAGACACCGGAGGCUGUAGAAUCUGAGAUGAAAUGUUGGAGAUUCGUGGAGAUACAUCUAAGCUAUGGCUAAAGUCUCUAUCCGGAGAAGACGAAAGAGACGACGACGAGGCAGACUGUGGAUCGUGAGAAGCUUUCUCCGGCGGCGACUUGUGAGAAGCUUUCUCCGAACGCAAUGCAUCCAACUCGUUAAGGAAGCCUUGUCCCGGGCGCCGCCUUUGAUGUAAUAAGCCUCUUUAAAUCCAUUCUCAACCAGCAAUUCAGCCACUUUCAUGGAGUUACCAUCAAAACUGCCUUCCACAUCAAAACAUGUAAGACAAACACAAAGCAAUAUCUUAAAAAAAGUAUGAAGCUUUUGGUCUAAAUCCUUACUUGUCAAGUACACAAACAACUGUGUUCUCCGGAUCAGAGAAUCCUCCUUUAACUCUCUUCACGAACCCCGACUCAUCUUCCUCACUAUACGGAACCUGAACCGAGCUCUUACCCAGAAACUUGAGACUCGGCGACGCCAACGAGGCCAACGUCUUGUCGUCUCUGAUAUCAAGAAGCUGCGAAUCAGGCUGGCUCUUGAGCUUAAGAAACGCGUUGAUGGCGGUUAUCGGUUUAUACUUCCUCAGGUAGAAGAUCGCCGCCGGGUAGACGACGAGGUAGAUGAAUGUGCAUCCCGCCACGAAAAACGGGUACUUGUUGAAAAAGUUGUCGAUCGUGAUCAGAAUCGACUCCAGAUCGAUUUUUCCGGUGGAUUGGUCGGAGAUUGAGGUGAAGGGUUGUGUUGAUGCGAGGACAGGGGAACAGAGGAUGGUGUGAGAAAGGGUGAGAGAGAGAUUGGUUUUGGACAGAAGGUGUAGCGAAUGAGAUAUGUUGUUGAGUGGAGCUGUGCGACUUUGGUCGGAAUUUGGAGUUUGAGGAGUGGAGGGUUUGGAUAGGUUUCGCGGAGGAGAAGAUGCGAGAAUUGUCGGAAGAGACGACAUCAUAACUAAAUGGCGACGAGAGACGAUGAGUGGAAGCGCCAAGAGGAUAAGAAACAAAAUAAAGGGCUCAUU